UUGAACUGGAGAUGCAGCUUCUGGCCUAUGCCACAGCCAUGCGAGAUUUGUACCUAUGCUGGAUCUUGCGGCAAUGCCAGAUCCUUAACCCACUGAGCAAGGCCAGGGAUAGAACCUGCAUCCUCAUGGAUACUACAUAGAGUUCUUAACCCACUGAGCCACAGCAGGAACUCCUCUUCAGUGUUUUUAUAGUUUCAAAAUUAGUGGAAAGCUGAUUCUAUUUUCCUAAAUUACAGGUGUAUUAUUUGUCCCUUUAAAUUUUCCUUGAAAGCCUCUGCCAAUAAAUAAGCCUGAAUCAUUUAAAUUAUUUCUUUCUGUAUUCCUUUCAAAAAUAGAAAGGGCUUCAUUUAUGUUUGGUAGAAUCAAGACAUGAGUCAAUGUGCAUUUUUUAUUUCUACCAAAUAUUAAUGUAUGAUGCUUCAUAAAACCUGCACUAUCAGAGCCCCACCACCCAUGGAAAUAUUUACAUACAGCAGACAGAAAUCAAUUAAUGCAGAUGAUCUGUUUUUGUGUUGGACAUUGGCAAAUGAAGUACAAAUUCUGUCUGGGGUGAUAAACACCGCAUUUUCUCUUGAAAAACAGAUAAAUAAUUUUGUGUGGUAGAAGAAGUUCUAUUAAAGAUAAUUGGCUAGCUCUGAAAAAGGCAUAUGGUCAUGGGCAGAAGAAAUUUUAAAUAGGCACCUUUAAAAAACUAUUGGAGUUCCUGCCAUGGCUCAGCGGAAAUGAAUCUGACUAGCAUCCAUGAGGAUACAGGUUUGAACCCUGGCCUCACUCAGUGGGUUAAGGAUCUGCUGUUGCCAUGAGCUAUGGUGUAGGUCACAGACAGGCCUUGGAUCUUAUGUUGCUGUGGCACAGGCCAGCAGCUACAGCUCCAAUUCAACCCCUCACCUGGAAACCUCCAUAUGCUGUAGGUGCGGCCCUAGAAAGACCAAAAAAUAAAAAUAAAAAAACCAAACCAAAACCCCCUACUAAAUGGUCAUUUCUAUGUGCAUACAAAUAUGCUUUUAAAUAAUAAGGACAUAAUGGAAUAAGGUGCUUGCAAUCUGUGGUGCUUAUAUAUUUAUUUUGUAUCUUCCAUUUUCAUUACUGCAAAUACAUUCCUUUGCCAAACUCUCCUGACAGAACUUCAAAAUCUCUGCACAACCAUGUUGUAUGAAUAAUGUGUACUAUUUGAAUGAUCAUAUCAGGAGAUGCAUAGACCUGAUAGUCAUGUGUCCCUGGAUUUUUAAUAAUGAGAGGCGGGCUUGUACUGCCUAGUGUGGGCAUUUCUUAUAACACUUAACAAUUAGUCCCUAAAUGAAAUCUACAGUAGGCAACCCACCCUCUGAUUUCCAUCUCUCUCUUUCUAAACAUAAUUGCCUUCAAUUAGUUCUCAUUCUAUGGGUUUUUUUAAAUCGUGUAGAAGUGCUUCCUUUAUUGGUACAAUAUUGGAUAUCACAGUUUUAUCCUUGUAGUUGAGGUGUGUCUGUCAUAACCUUGAGAGUUUAUAGGUGUUAUACUAGCAACUGACUGCUGAUAAGUUGCUAUGUACUAUACAGCCUUAUCAAAGGCUUAGUUCUCGCUCAAAAUCUUUGCCAACCGUUUGGGCCACACUGAAUGAUUUCUUGAAUGAGUUGACUCAUCUUUGGCUGUUUUCACACACACAUACUUCUAAAAGAGAUGAGUCACCAAGAUGAGUGAACCUUGGGCACAGACUGAAGCUGUGCCAAGGUAAAUACCAAGCCAAAUAAAUCAGCAUUUCCUUCAGGGGGGUUGCCUGUGGACUAAGGAAGAAUAAGUUACACAGACACAAACGCCCUCAAAUCUCACUGAACAGAGAGGAGAGGGAAGCUCCAGGGAUGGGGAGAUCCUGACACAGCCAAUCAAAUCAUUCUGGAUUGGAAAAGCUGAGAAAAGCUAGAAGAUAGAAAAUGUGGUAAAAAUGCGUCAAGUUAAUUUCACGCUUUUCCACCUUCAACUUUUGCACAAAUUAAAUUUAAUGCUCCUCAGCCUGACUGGUCUGCAUGCAAAGUGGCAGCCCCACAGUGGUUGGGGCUGAUGGAGAUAAAAAGGGUUCAGUGUUAUUUAUAAAAUAGUAAGAAAAUAUUUGUUCUAUGAUCAGAAGUCGCUUCAUAGUAAUUAAAAUGUCCUCUCCUCCUCUCUGUAGAUGUACUGAAACUCUUGUAAUGCACACGGUAUUAACAUUAAACCCUUGACUAUUCCCCGAUAUGAGAUACCAAGUUAAGAUACCCAAAUAUUUCAAGCUCUCUUAAUUUCCAUUUUAACAUAGAGGUGAGGAAUUUUGUUCAUUAGACGAUUAUCUUUGGCACUUCCCUGUUCUCUUUAAAAUUUAAAUUUUAAAUUGGCGACUGUCAUAAUGUAAGUGUUCUAAUAAAGCUCCAUACAUAGGACAGGGAGAUGUGGUGUGUGCAUGGCCUGUAAUAGAUGUUAACUAGAUCUUAACUAGACUUACUGGGGUGAUCAUUCUGCAGUAUAUACAAAUAUCAAAUCAUGAUGUUGUACAUCUGAAAUAUAACAUUACAUGCAAUUACACUUCAUUUUUUUUUUUAAAGACUAAAACUCCACAGGACAAGGAGAUACGGUGUUGUGCAUGGCCUGUUCCAUAUCUGAAAACAGACACUUCUGUAAUAUUCACUAAAACGGCUGACACCAGUCUUCACCUAAGAUGAACAAAUCUGAAUUAACCAUAGCCCCACAAGACAACUCUCAACAGUAAUAGUGUCUGACCUGUAAAUAUCUAUGAGAAAAUCAUACACCAAUGUAUCCUGUCUUUCCUCUCCUAUUUCUCUGGCCUUAUUUACCAAGGAGCUCUGAAGAGUCUGGAGGCUUAAGAAGUCUGCAUCUUCUAGAUCUGUUCCCUCAGGAAUGAGGAAAUGAUGGAAACCCACAGAAAACAUGUACGUUAUAAAAGCUGAGGGGAAGAGUUCCCGUUGUGGCUCAGUAGUAACAAACCUGACUAAUGUCCAUGAGGACGCAGGUUUGAUCCCUAGCCUCACUCAGUGAGUUAAAGAUUGAGUGUUGCUGUGAGCUGGGGUGCAGGUCACAGACACAGCUCGGAUCCUGUGUUGCUGUGGUUAUGGUGUAGGCCGGCAGCUGCAGCUCCAAUUUGACCCCUAGCCUAGAAACUUCCACAUGCUGUGGGUGCUAGCCUAAAAAGACAAAAAAAAAAAAAAAACUGAGGGGAAAAAAUCUAGGGCCAAUGAAGGAACCUGGCAGAGUUGUCAAAAACAUAUUUGUUUUGUCCAUUUCUCAUUCGUCUGAAUUAACCUACUCCUUCACUUCAACACGCCCAGAAUGCGUUUUCUCUAUCUUAAAAUAUGACUAUGUUCCUAAUAACUUUUUUUUAAAAUAUAUUUUAUUGGAGUAUGGUUGACUUAGAAAGUUGUGUUAAUUUCAGGCACAUAGUAAGUAUAAACAGUUAUAUAUGUACAUAUAUCCAUUCAUUUUCAGAUUCUUUACCCAUAUCCUAAUAACUCUUUACCACAGCCAUGCCAGAUCUGAGCUGCGUCUGUGACCCGUUACACCACAGCUCACCGGCAGCACUGGAUCCUUAACCCACUGAGCAAGGCCAGGGAUUGAACCUGUAUCCUCAUGGAUACUAGUCAGAUUCAUUUCCAUUGAUACAAGAUGGGAACGUCCUUAUCCUAUUAACUCUUGAAGGAAACUCUUCCCAAGAGUCAAACCCACUGGCUCUGGGAUAGUGAGUUAAAGCCAAAGUCAAGAGGUUGCAUUUUUGCUGGUCGCCCUCACUGGGUUGGGCUUACCUUGCUAUGAUGUUACUCUUUGUUGAGGUAGAAGAAGUAGUGAGACUUUUUUUUUUUUUUAAUUUAAAUUUUUCCCGGUCUGGGAAUGGAUAUAAGGGCAUUAGAGAUGCAAAUGCAGACACUGGGUUGGUAGCCAUCAUUCUGUCUCCUCAUUCAUUGCAAAGUCAUUCUUACAAGGAAAGGAGAGGGCAGUGACGCCUACUAAACUGCACCACAAGGAGAAGGUUGAGGAGAGGUAAGAGGAUGUAUGAUUACUUCAAACUAAACUAAACCUUUUUUCCUAGAUGAUGCUUAAGAGUGUCUUGAUAAUUUUGUUUACUGUAAAAUCGCUAUAAAGUAUGACUUGAAUCUUAAAGAUGUCAUCUGUUCAAUAGGAAUUAUAGGGCACACAUACAUGCUUGCCUUGAGCAAUCUUAGGAAUGUGUGGGAAAAAAAAUUUUCUUUAAUCCAAGCAAAGUAUCAUUGAGAAAUAUUUUUUUAAAAUUUUCAGGGGAAGGAUCAAGAUGGUGAAGGAAUAAGACAUGGCAUUCACUUUCUCCCACAAACACACAAAAAAAUUUCCCUUUCAUUUUUUUUUCCCUAAGCCUUCCCCUGAAAUCUCACAGCUAACACCCAGGUUUUCUCUGCUGGAAUCCCUCCCUUUCCGGCCCCUUGGUCUGUAGCAACACUCUCUUCCUUCCCCAUCCUCACUGCUACAUCGUAGACUGGUGGCCCCUUAAUCAUCUUUUUAAAAGGUGCUCAGAUACCUCUGUGAAACCUUACCUGUCUCAGAAGAGUUAGGUGCCACCUCAUUUGUGCUCCCAUGAAACCCUUCCAUGACCAUUUAGCUAAUUGCACUGUGGGCAGCUGCUCACAUCUAUUUCUCCCACUGGACUGUAAUAUCCUUCAGGGCAUGACUGUGCCUUUGUUAACUUUGUAUCACUAGAGUCCCACCUAGUACCUAGACACUCCAUGAAUGUUUGAUAAAUGAAUGAAUCAAGAGUAGGAUAAAAGAGAGGAAAGCAGAGUAUAGCAUAAAAGAAUUAGAGCAAGCA
Molecule: long non-coding RNA, 4798 nt
Filed under: Sus scrofa (pig)
Lineage: Eukaryota; Metazoa; Chordata; Mammalia; Artiodactyla; Suidae
Description: lncRNA (ENSSSCG00025030602.1)
Source: RNAcentral